UGGGGAAUUUUGGACAAUGGGCGAAAGCCUGAUCCAGCAAUGCCGCGUGUGUGAAGAAGGCCUUCGGGUUGUAAGCACUUUUGUCCGGAAAGAAAUCCUUGGCUCUAAUACAGUCGGGGGAUGACGGUACCGGAAGAAUAAGCACCGGCUAACUACGUGCCAGCAGCCGCGGUAAUACGUAGGGUGCAAGCGUUAAUCGGAAUUACUGGGCGUAAAGCGUGCGCAGGCGGUUUGCUAAGACCGAUGUGAAAUCCCCGGGCUCAACCUGGGAACUGCAUUGGUGACUGGCAGGCUAGAGUAUGGCAGAGGGGGGUAGAAUUCCACGUGUAGCAGUGAAAUGCGUAGAGAUGUGGAGGAAUACCGAUGGCGAAGGCAGCCCCCUGGGCCAAUACUGACGCUCAUGCACGAAAGCGUGGGGAGCAAACAGGAUUAGAUACCCUGGUAGUCCACGCCCUAAACGAUGUCAACUAGUUGUUGGGGAUUCAUUUCCUUAGUAACGUAGCUAACGCGUGAAGUUGACCGCCUGGGGAGUACGGUCGCAAGAUUAAAACUCAAAGGAAUUGACGGGGUCAUAGCUG
Molecule: ribosomal RNA, 578 nt
Filed under: uncultured bacterium
Lineage: Bacteria
Description: partial 16S ribosomal RNA
Rfam family: Bacterial small subunit ribosomal RNA
Source: RNAcentral